RNAcentral lists this ribosomal RNA (465 nucleotides) under uncultured bacterium. Its description in RNAcentral is "bacterial SSU rRNA". It matches the Rfam family "Bacterial small subunit ribosomal RNA", at positions 338 to 795 of the family's 1533-position model. The record is from RNAcentral.
CCUACGGGGUGCAGCAGUGGGGAAUAUUGCACAAUGGGCGCAAGCCUGAUGCAGCCAUGCCGCGUGUAUGAAGAAGGCCUUCGGGUUGUAAAGUACUUUCAGCGGGGGGGAAGGUGUUGUGGUUAAUAACCACAGCUAUUGACGUUACCCGCAGAAGAAGCACCGGCUAACUCCGUGCCAGCAGCCGCGGUAAUACGGAGGGUGCAAGCGUUAAUCGGAACUACUGGGCGUAAAGCGCACGCAGGCGUUCUGUCAAGUCGGAUGUGAAAUCCCCGGGCUCAACCUGGGAACUGCGAUCGAAACUGGCAGGCUAGAGUCUUGUAGAGGGGGGUAGAAUUCCAGGUGUAGCGGUGAAAUGCGUAGAGAUCUGGAGGAAUACCGGUGGCGAAGGCGGCCCCCUGGACAAAGACUGACGCUCAGGUGCGAAAGCGUGGGGAGCAAACAGGAUUAGAUACCCGAGUAGUC